Molecule: ribosomal RNA, 450 nt
Filed under: uncultured bacterium
Lineage: Bacteria
Description: bacterial SSU rRNA
Rfam family: Bacterial small subunit ribosomal RNA
Source: RNAcentral
AGUUUGAUCAUGGCUCAGAACGAACGCUGGCGGCAGGCCUAACACAUGCAAGUCGAGCGAACCCUUCGGGGUUAGCGGCGGACGGGUUAGUAACGCGUGGGAAUAUACCCUUUGGUACGGAAUAGCCUCGGGAAACUGAGAGUAAUACCGUAUGUGCCCUUCGGGGAAGGAUUAUCGCCAAGGAUUAGCCCGCGUUGGAUUAGAUAGUUGGUGGGGUAAUGGCCUACCAAGUCUACGAUCCAUAGCUGGUUUGAGAGGAUGAUCAGCAACACUGGGACUGAGACACGGCCCAGACUCCUACGGGAGGCAGCAGUGGGGGAAUCUUAGACAAUGGGCGGCAAGCCUGAUCUAGCCAUGCCGCGUGGACGAUGAAGGCCUUAGGGUUGUAAAGUCCUUUCAGAUGGGAAGAUAAUGACGGUACCAUCAGAAGAAGCCCCGGCUAACUCCGUG